Molecule: transfer RNA, 66 nt
Filed under: Megalurothrips usitatus (bean blossom thrips)
Lineage: Eukaryota; Metazoa; Arthropoda; Insecta; Thysanoptera; Thripidae
Description: tRNA-Leu
Source: RNAcentral
ACCUAUGUAGUAUAAAAUAAUACAUUGAUAUUAAAAAUCAAUAAUAAGAACUUUUCUUCAGAGGUA